This 292-nucleotide long non-coding RNA is filed under the name Coturnix japonica (Japanese quail). RNAcentral's name for it is "lncRNA (ENSCJPG00005015538.1)". The record is from RNAcentral. Lineage: Eukaryota; Metazoa; Chordata; Aves; Galliformes; Phasianidae.
AAACUCAGUUGUUCCAGAGAUCUUUUAAAUGAUUUUGUGGAAAAACAACAGCACAACAACCUUUUUGAAAGUAAUUAAGAGGCAAGCAACUACCCAAAGAAAAUACAAACUUCAAGGUUCUUCGCUACGGAAGAAAAAGUUAUUACUCUUCUGUGCUAUCACUGAGAAAGGAUUAAUUCUACAUCCUGAGAAGCUUCUCCAUAUGCUUGUGAUGAGUAUGAACCCCCAGUCUUCUGAACAGCCUAUGUUUAUGAUAAUCCCUACAGAAUCCAUGAGCUGUGGUAGGCCUUAA